Molecule: long non-coding RNA, 1002 nt
Filed under: Elaeis guineensis (African oil palm)
Lineage: Eukaryota; Viridiplantae; Streptophyta; Magnoliopsida; Arecales; Arecaceae
Description: long non-coding RNA (EGUI_LNC054078)
Source: RNAcentral
AAAUCAGAAUGUAUAGAUUUUUUUAAUUUUUAAAAUAUGAAUGCAGUGAAAUGAAAUUUGAUCUAGAUUAAACACAUUAAUCUAUCUAACAUGCAUGAAGUAGAUCUAAUCUACAUGCAACAGGAUUGAUCACAUACUUUUAAGAUGCUGAAAAUAAAAAUCAGAUUUAAAUAAAAUCAUAAAUCUGAAGAUCGAAUCUCCAUACCUUUGCGCAGGUCGAUGAUCUCUACUACUGAUGAUCAUGAUAAUCUGAUGAGAUUUUUGUCAAGCCACACACGCAUCCGGUCUCUACGGAUAUCCACACAAAGUUUUCGAUCCGAUCAGAGACUUCUGACUUCAUCGAGGUGCUAGCUCCCUUGUAGAGUCAUCUCCUGAUGGUUGAUCUGGUUCCUUCUUGGUAUCUUUCACUCUUUUAGAUCUCUGAAAAGGAACAGGAGGAAGAUGAAGGAAAGAUGAAAACCUAAAGAACCUUGUCUCUUUUCUUUUCUCUCUUCUCAAAACUCACUCACCAAGGAGAAGCCCUAGAAAACCUCACACCCUAGAUGAGAAAAGCCCACAAAAGGAGAUGCUCUCCUCUAUUUUUCUCAUGCUCAAAAAGGUGCAAUGCCUCCCUUAUUUUUCCUCACACCCCAGAUAUGGUUUUCAUGGUGAAUAUCAGAUAUCUCAUGGUGAAUUAUUUUUUCUCCUUGUCGUAUAAAAGAAGUUCCUUUUAUGGCUUGGCGUCAAAGAGGUUUGGAUGAGAUCAAAUCUCAUCUUGAUAAGGAAUAAGUUCAAAAUCAAAUUUCAAACUUUCCUUUAUCUUUCUUUUGGCAUUGAGAAAUGGGCUUAUCUGCCUUUGCAUGAGAUAUCUCACACUAACAUAAGAGGGCACAAAAGAAUGAGGGCAUAGCUUCUUAUGGCAUGCGGUUAAUGGGACGCUAAGGAGAAAGAGUCCUAGUCAAUUGGGACUCCUCUUGGUACUUCAAUUAAACUUAACAAAAUUUGAUUCGAUUGUACCCAAAG